Molecule: ribosomal RNA, 492 nt
Filed under: uncultured bacterium
Lineage: Bacteria
Description: partial 16S ribosomal RNA
Rfam family: Bacterial small subunit ribosomal RNA
Source: RNAcentral
AGUGAACGCUGGCGGUAGGCCUAACACAUGCGAGUCGAACGGCAGCACAGUAAGAGCUUGCUCUUACGGGUGGCGAGUGGCGGACGGGUGAGGAAUACAUCGGAAUCUACUUUUUCGUGGGGGAUAACGUAGGGAAACUUACGCUAAUACCGCAUACGACCUACGGGUGAAAGCAGGGGAUCUUCGGACCUUGCGCGAUUGAAUGAGCCGAUGUCGGAUUAGCUAGUUGGCGGGGUAAAGGCCCACCAAGGCGACGAUCCGUAGCUGGUCUGAGAGGAUAAUCAGCCACACUGGAACUGAGACACGGUCCAGACUCCUACGGGAGGCAGCAGUGGGGAAUAUUGGACAAUGGGCGCAAGCCUGAUCCAGCCAUACCGCGUGGGUGAAGAAGGCCUUCGGGUUGUAAAGCCCUUUUGUUGGGAAAGAAAAGCAGCAGGUUAAUACCCCGCUGUUCUGACGGUACCCAAAGAAUAAGCACCGGCUAACUUCGUG